This 304-nucleotide long non-coding RNA is filed under the name Carica papaya (papaya). Its description in RNAcentral is "long non-coding RNA (CPAP_LNC008630)". The record is from RNAcentral. Lineage: Eukaryota; Viridiplantae; Streptophyta; Magnoliopsida; Brassicales; Caricaceae.
GAUUCCAAACACAAAUUUUCAAGUCUAAUCAUCGCCCAUCAUACAGCAACAAGCACUUUUGAUAAGAGCAUCCAAUGGAUGGCCAUCACAGAACCUAAACAAAUGAUGAAUAGUUAGAGAGCUUUAUCAUCCACCACUUUUAUGCCCAGAGCCUCUACAGAUGCUACUGCUAGCAUUGUAGGGAUAUGUGUACUAUGCGGUGGAAGAUUGCACAUGCAUCCAGAUUUUAAUUAAAAGUGGUGAUCAAGCUUUGGCCGUUAAUAAAAAAACAUGAUCAUACAGUCUGGAGUUUACAUAUAGUUAA